ACGCUGUUGGUGUAUUGGUAACAUUAGAGCUUCCCAUUUAUGAGUUUAAUGGCCGCCCUUUAGUGUCGGAUAAUUGCUCUAGCACGGGGUUCGAUUCCCCGACAGCGUA
Molecule: non-coding RNA, 109 nt
Organism: Cryptococcus deneoformans JEC21
Lineage: Eukaryota; Fungi; Basidiomycota; Tremellomycetes; Tremellales; Cryptococcaceae
Source: the annotation of a RefSeq genome assembly